RNAcentral lists this long non-coding RNA (480 nucleotides) under Triticum aestivum (bread wheat). RNAcentral's name for it is "long non-coding RNA (TAES_LNC025996)". The record is from RNAcentral. Lineage: Eukaryota; Viridiplantae; Streptophyta; Magnoliopsida; Poales; Poaceae.
CCCAGCAAGGUGAUCGUCACCAAGCUCAAGCUCGACAAGGACCGCAAGGCCCUCCUCGACCGCAAGGCUCGCGGCCGCGCUGCUGACAAGGCCAAGGGCAAGUUCACGGCCGAGGACGUCGCCGCCGCCGCUGGGGGUGCCACGGCCACCGGCGCCUCGCUCCAGGAGAUCGAUUAAGCUCGGUGGAUCUGCCGGUUGCCAUACUGCUCUUGCUAUCCUAGUUUUUUAAUAUCACCAGUCCUGUUAGGAUAUGCUACCUGAAAUAUGCUCCUUUAUCAUUCGUAAGAUGUUCGAUGGUGACGUUUGGGAACCUUUAUUAAUGUGAAUCUAUCAUGUGGCUGUGCGUUGGAUUUUGAUAUAAAGUCUUCGUUAUAUGUUUAAUAUCUGGUUCGUUGUUUGUCGUUUAGAUCUGGUUCAUGUUAUUAUGUUCUCUCUACCUGUGUGCACCUGUAGAGAUUAAAAUCACCACCCGUUAGUUCU